GAUGAACGCUAGCAGAACGCCUAACACAUGCAAGUCGAACGAACCAGCAAUGGUUAGUGGCAAACGGGCGAGUAACGCGUAUCUAACCUACCCUUGAGUGAGGCACAACUACAGAGAUGUAGCUAAUUCCUCAUACGUUCUAGAGAAUGAAAAUAUCUAGAAGAAAGAUUUAUCGCUCAGGGAGGGGGGUGCGUCCUAUCAGGUAGUUGGUGAGGUAACGGCUCACCAAGCCUAUGACGGGUAGCCGGUCUGAGAGGAUGUCCGGCCGCAAUGGAACUGAGAACGGUCCAUACUCCUACGGGAGGCAGCAGUGGGGAAUAUUGGACAAUGGGCGAAAGCCUGAUCCAGCGAUUCUGCGUGAAGGAUGAAGCCUUAUGGGGUGUAAACUUCUUUUCUGGGGGAAGACGAAUGACGGUACCUCAGGAAUAAGAGACGGCUAACUACGUG
Molecule: ribosomal RNA, 447 nt
Filed under: uncultured bacterium
Lineage: Bacteria
Description: bacterial SSU rRNA
Rfam family: Bacterial small subunit ribosomal RNA
Source: RNAcentral